This 825-nucleotide long non-coding RNA is filed under the name Musa acuminata (dwarf banana). Its description in RNAcentral is "long non-coding RNA (MACU_LNC009620)". The record is from RNAcentral. Lineage: Eukaryota; Viridiplantae; Streptophyta; Magnoliopsida; Zingiberales; Musaceae.
AUGGCUAAAGGUAAGGAUCGAAAAAGAUGUUGCUGCACUUAAUCACAUGAGCUUCUCUACUGCUCUUCCUAACAACAACAUAUUGGAAUUGUGGAAGCGACCUUCUGGUUCUAAGCUUACGCAUUCACUUUUCCAGUUUGAUCUUGCAUUUGUUACAUGAAUAAUCUUUUCCUCUUUAUAAAGUUAAUAUGACAGGAAAGUAGACAGUGCUAAAUAAGAUAGAAUACGAACAGAAUCCUUACAUGUUGCACUUCUCUGAGGCGCAAAUGAAAUGAUGCAAUUAUGUGAAUAUCUUGUCCUCUUUCGAUCUAUAAAGUUUCAGAAAGUAAACAGCUUUUAGCAAUACUCACUAGAACAGCCAAAGGUGAUCCUUAUAGCUUGCCCUUGAUUUUUUUUGUUUUUUUUUUUUUGUGCAUUUGCUAAAAAACCUUAUUACAAGGACACAGUUUUAUUUGCAUUAACUUCAUCUGGUCUUAGUCAUCCAGCAAAUGCAUUUCUACUUUCUGAGAGCAGAUACAAGUUGUGGUAAGAAGUUGCCUGACAAAUCUCUUAAAAUUUCAGCUACUGCUUGCUUUAGAUGUACUGACGUUGAUGAGUUCUGGUAAUCUUCAGGAAAAUUGAGAUAAAAAGGAUUCAUCAUGUGGAUGAAAAUGAAGGACAAGAAAACGAUGUUCUUCGACUUGUCUGCAUCUACCGUUGGUGACUCAAACUUGGUGAAGUGAUCAGAGUAAAUAUUUAGUAAGAAAGCAUUUCAACUCCGUCCAAAUGCGCUUGAUGUUUAUUAUCAACAUUAUGUUAUUGGUUUUCUUUCCUAAAUAAUUUGGG